GACGAACGCUGGCGGCGUGCUUAACACAUGCAAGUCGAACGGAAAGGCCCUGCUUUUGUGGGUUGCUCGAUUGGCGAACGGGUGAGUAACACGUGAGUAUACUGCCCUUGACUUUGGGAUAACUUCAGGAAAAUGGGGCUAAUAUCGGAUAGGAUCUCCUGCUGCAUGUUGUGGGUUGGAGAGUUUCGGCGGUUGUGGAUGUACUCGCGGCUUAUCAGCUUGUUGGUGUGGUAGUGGCUUACCAAGGCUUUGAAGGGUAGCCGGCCUGAGAGGGUGAACGGCGACAUUGGGACUGAGAUACGGCGCAGACGGCUACGGGAGGCAGCAGUGGGGAAUAUUGCAGAAUGGGCGGGAGCCUGAGGCAGCAACGCCGCGUGCGUGAUGACGGCCUUCGGGUUGUAAACCGAUUUCGCCUGUGACGAAGAGUGAGUGACGGUAAUGGGUAAAGAAGCAACGGCUAACUACGUG
Molecule: ribosomal RNA, 468 nt
Filed under: uncultured bacterium
Lineage: Bacteria
Description: partial 16S ribosomal RNA
Rfam family: Bacterial small subunit ribosomal RNA
Source: RNAcentral